AUGUUUUUCUCAUGGAGGAUCACAGCUGUCAAGAAGACAAGCCCAACAUUCAGGUUUAUGUCAUGGCUGUUGACAUCAUUUAAAGCAAUCUAUGUGGCCAAGCGCAGAUCAGAAGGAGGGACUCUCUUCAUUCACUCUAAGGCUAUGACAGAGCCUCUCUCUUGUGCUCUGCAGUCUUCCACCCACGGUGAAAUCCAGCAAAUCCACAGCAAGCUGUAUACAUUGUCAUUGAGCUUUUCCAACAAAGCAUUCGGUGGACAAAAGAAAGAUGAUGCCACCAGGAGGUUGUUGCUGUUAUUUUUCUACUUGUUUGGAUAUUUUGCCCUUUGCAACAUCAUCUCAGAGAGCAUGGGCAGCUUGGAACUACAGUGGGCUCAUGAAGAAUUGGAGCCAGUGCCUAGACACCCCAGCUUCCCUGUCACUCAGUGCAGCAAAGUCCCAGAAAAACUGGAUGUCAAAAAUGUGCUCAUGUACACAUCCUCAUUGGCCUCCUUUCUUUCCCUCCCUCCCCACUCACAGAAAUUCCUGGGGUCUUGUAUCCCAAGAAUGGACUGCUUGCCCAUACCCUUUCCUCAGGGUCACCUUUUUGGAGCAAUCCCAACUAAGGUUAUGAGCAGAAAAAGCUGA
RNAcentral lists this long non-coding RNA (627 nucleotides) under Vulpes vulpes (red fox). RNAcentral describes it as "lncRNA (ENSVVUG00000016100.1)". Lineage: Eukaryota; Metazoa; Chordata; Mammalia; Carnivora; Canidae. The record is from RNAcentral.